Etheostoma cragini (Arkansas darter) is the source of this 195-nucleotide long non-coding RNA. RefSeq lists it as uncharacterized. The record is from RefSeq and is a predicted model, not a curated record. Lineage: Eukaryota; Metazoa; Chordata; Actinopteri; Perciformes; Percidae. The transcript is spliced from 4 exons.
UAGUUCUGCUACGGAGCUACAACACUUGUGUGGAUGGAGAUCAUUUUUGGUUCAAAAAAUGAAAACGUAGUAGUGUAGAUGUAUCCUCAGCCUGGUUGUGACUUCAUCCAUCAUGAGGGUGCAGAUCUAAUACAACAACUGUUCUCAGGCACUUUCACAAGCAGUGUUGAAACAUUUGGUCAAACUCAUCUGACC